This 292-nucleotide ribosomal RNA is filed under the name uncultured bacterium. RNAcentral describes it as "partial 16S ribosomal RNA". It matches the Rfam family "Bacterial small subunit ribosomal RNA", at positions 505 to 796 of the family's 1533-position model. The record is from RNAcentral.
GUGCCAGCCGCCGCGGUAAUACGAAGGGUGCAAGCGUUAUUCGGAUUUAUUGGGUGUAAAGGGUGUGUAGACGGUAUGUUAAGUCCGCUGUUAAAUUUCCCGGCCUAACUGGGAGCCAGCGGUGGAUACUGACGUGCUAGAGGAUGGAAGAGAGAAGUGGAAUUCCCGGAGUAGCGGUAAAAUGCGUAGAUCUCGGGAGGAACACCAAUGGCGAAGGCAGCUUCUUGGUCCAUAUCUGACGUUGAGACACGAAAGCGUGGGGAGCAAACAGGAUUAGAUACCCCAGUAGUCC